RNAcentral lists this long non-coding RNA (2012 nucleotides) under Toxoplasma gondii VEG. The record is from RNAcentral. Lineage: Eukaryota; Apicomplexa; Conoidasida; Eucoccidiorida; Sarcocystidae.
CGCAAGCGAUAGCAGAAGAUGGGCUUAGACGCUCAUUAUCGUGACCGCUGCUCGACGAUGGCGAAAGCUGAUUUUGUGAACAGUGUUCGGUGUUGUUCACGGCGUCAGCGCGUUCUGCUGGAAGGACACAGAAGGAUUUCAUUGCUUUGCGCUCGGACCGAUGUCGCACGGUGAACAUGGGAGUGAGUGGAUAUCAUUCUGAUCGUACACUGCAGGCGAUCCGUUGUCUUUGUUGUAUGUCACGGCCAAAACUAGAGUACUUUUUCCCGGUGACUUCUACAAACAAGGAAGCUUUGCGCAGCAAUGAUUCACUCUGAUAUAUCAACGAGAGGGAUGGAUAUACGUACCGACGUGUUGUACGGGCUCCGUGGUUCUCUAUUCUUGUGGCUGUGAUGUCGCACUUCCGAUUGUAGAGAUUGAAGCUGGGGGAUGCAGUGGCAAAAUGUAUACUUCACCGGCAAACAUGCAAACUACCUCGUGUUCAGCUCACGUGUACGAGGACAGAUUGCGUCAUUGUUAUAGUGCGGAUCCUUUCGUCCUUUUAUGACGUGAAAUGCAUAUUCCGUAGCUUCUGCCGCUAAAGAUUGACUGGAACUGUUUCCCUUUAUGUCUUCGUGAAGAUUGUGAGCGGUGACGUGGGCGCAGUGACGUCCCCCUGAUAGAGUCCAGUGACGGACAUGACUGCAUUCUGCAACUACGUCGAGGCACCAGUUGCUCAGGAAUGUUUCUGGGAGUUUGGUGCUGGCCACAAAGACGACAGAACCUGAUUACUGUUGUAGCGCUGGUCGGUGGCACCCCGCCGUGCAAGAGAAAGAGCCCGCUUGCGUGGUAGGACGACUGGGCUGUCACCGUCUUUCAAGUGCGAGCUAACAUUUCGACGCCGAACUACAGGAACAUUGUCUUUUUUGGUCCAGUAGCAAUCGGAUAUAUCACUGACCGGAGAAGCACGAACAUCGUACGGUUCGUCCUGGAAAGGCAGCUGUUGAUGCUGUGCAGGUGCAAUGGCAGGUUCAUGUAGCAAAACAGGAAGAGUUAACAAGAACAGGUACUGGGAUCCGGGUAGUUGACACCGAGCACCGUGAAAAAGGGGCACCCAGCCAUGUACUUGACGCCUCAACGCCAAUAGGUCUCGUUUGAAUUCCUUUUGCCACAUGGCUCAGCAAAUCCCGCCACAAUGAAGGUAUUACUUAGAGAAGCCAUCGAACGGGGGCUUGACUGUGUAUCACUUCGAUCUCCAGAAAAGUGUUUCAGGCUUAAAGGCAUAGCAUCCUGAUCGUAACUGUUGAUUGUGGUACACCAUUUUCUCCCGAGUCGUAACUGUGGUAGCGUCACUGUGGGCAGCCACUUCCACCCUUCCUACGCUGCAAUCAACGGAAACCAUAAUUGUCGGUCUUGCAUUCACACAUUGGCGUUUCUUGCCCCUGUAGCAAGUAAGAGUUUCUUGCUGUAAGAAACAAAUCCAAACCUCAUCAACGUCAAGAUAGGAACAUCGCUGAACCAUAAGAUAAUGCCGUUUCUGCGAUGCAUAGUCGCAUACAUCACAGCGCAUGAACUAAUCAAAAGAGUGAUAUUUAGCGCUCACCAGCUGAUGCGCGCACUAUUUGACUUCGGAACGGAAUACCAUUGGAUAUUGUUUACGUGAAAUCUGUUUGGGAAUUUAGCUGUGCGAGCUCAACACAAGAGUCAACAGGGUUGGAUAAGGUGCUUGAGCUUUGGAAUAUCCUAAACGCAUGUGACACUCUGGCAUUCAUCUGAAAGUUGGAAGAAUGUGAUUUGUCUUGGAGUUUCAUCUUGCUUGCAGCGAACUGCUCGAAGUCAUUUCUUGGACUUGCACAAUUUCUCUUGGCCGGUGCAGGGCGUGAGCGAAACAGUGCUGACGCGUAGCAGUCCCAUUGUCUGGUUAACUUCGCCGUUUAACAACAGAUGGGACAACAAAACACAUGAUGCAACAAGCAAAAUUGGUUUCUGUUAGCUCUUCCUCAUUCACAAUCAGGCAGUAAGCAUUGAGCCCA